RNAcentral lists this long non-coding RNA (418 nucleotides) under Arabidopsis thaliana (thale cress). RNAcentral describes it as "long non-coding RNA (ATHA_LNC000516)". Lineage: Eukaryota; Viridiplantae; Streptophyta; Magnoliopsida; Brassicales; Brassicaceae. The record is from RNAcentral.
UUCUAUGCUGCAUCUGUGUUUCAUGCUCCCAAUGUAUUGUCUCGACAGAUGUUUCUCCCAAUGUGGUUUGAGACAUUGAACAAAUAUUCAUUUGAUCUAGUAGGAAAAUUUAGUUGACACAUUUGAGUAUACUAAAAUCAAUGUGUCUGAAGUGGACUUUAAGAUAUAGUUUUUGCAAUUCUUACUUAGAUUUGAUUGGGACAUUGCAGUCUUGUUCUCCAUAGAUGAUGCCUAGAAAAAACUGGAACUUCAUCUGAUCAAUAAUGCUUUUUAUUAGGUUAUGAUAAAAUGAAAUCAAGUGUUGGUUUCAUUUGUUGUUGUUGAUGAGGUUAUUACCUGCUGUUUCUUGGUCUUGGGAAGCCCAUGUUUAUGGAUAUUUGCUGAUAUUUGUCGUCUCCAAACUUCAGUUUCGUUCACC